AGCUGUGGGUUGUGAGAGGCCAGGCCAACAAAGAAGUUUAAUAAGUAGAUUUCAGGACAUGUGUGUAAACUUUGGUGGGACACCAGCCCGGGACACGUGUGCCAAAGAAGCUCUUCACAACCACAGAUGGAGCUUUCCAUGUCUUACGGAGGAGGCUGGGAAGCUAAACUGUAUAUCUGUAAAAAAGAAGGAGAUCUUUAGCUCAUGCCACCAAAGUGCAAAGCAUUGCAUUAUUUUAUUGUCUACCUCUCCUCCCACACUGCAUUUAUGAAGACAUUGUGAACUGUGAAAUCUUUGUACAAAAAUUGCUUUAUGCCCAAUUACUAGGAGUGCACUAUAAAUUAAAAAUUUG
RNAcentral lists this long non-coding RNA (352 nucleotides) under Anser brachyrhynchus (Pink-footed goose). RNAcentral describes it as "lncRNA (ENSABRG00000012512.1)". The record is from RNAcentral. Lineage: Eukaryota; Metazoa; Chordata; Aves; Anseriformes; Anatidae.